GGGUGAGUAACGCGUGAGUAACCUGCCUUACACAAGGGGAUAGCCUCUGGAAACGGAGAAUAAUACCCUAUGAAACUAUCUUAUCGCAUGAAAAGAUAGUCAAAGUGUUUUAGCGGUGUAAGAUGGACUUGCGUCUGAUUAGCUAGUUGGUGAGAUAACAGCCCACCAAGGCAACGAUCAGUAGCCGGCUUGAGAGAGUGUACGGCCACAUUGGGACUGAAACACGGCCCAG
RNAcentral lists this ribosomal RNA (232 nucleotides) under uncultured Eubacteriales bacterium. RNAcentral describes it as "uncultured Clostridiales bacterium partial 16S ribosomal RNA". It matches the Rfam family "Bacterial small subunit ribosomal RNA", at positions 104 to 334 of the family's 1533-position model. Lineage: Bacteria; Bacillati; Bacillota; Clostridia; Eubacteriales. The record is from RNAcentral.